GCCUCGGUGGCGAAACCGGUAGACGCGCGGGACUCAAAAUCCCGUUCAGCAAUGAGUGUCGGUUCGAGUCCGACCCGAGGCACCA
RNAcentral lists this transfer RNA (85 nucleotides) under Methylibium sp. T29. RNAcentral describes it as "tRNA-Leu". It matches the Rfam family "tRNA". Rfam says of the family: Transfer RNA (tRNA) molecules are approximately 80 nucleotides in length. RNAcentral also lists the same sequence under 2 other names. Lineage: Bacteria; Pseudomonadati; Pseudomonadota; Betaproteobacteria; Burkholderiales; Sphaerotilaceae. The record is from RNAcentral.